CGAUGGUUGGUUGGGGCGUGUUGAGAGGCGGAGAGAGCUAAGACGGAUGUUCAGCAGCAGGACAAAAAGGAUUUUGGAAGGAUGAGGUCGAAAGAUAAGGUUCACCCAGAGGACCACUGUCAAGGGUGUGUGUAUGCAGCGCUGUUGUAGCCAUGUGGUUCCAGCAUAUUAGAGAGACAAAGUGGGUGAGGGAAUAUCUUUUAUUGGACUAACUUCUGUUGGUGAGAGACACAAGCUUUCGAGCUUACACAGAGCUCUUCUUCAGGUGUGUGUGUGGUAAUUUUGGUCUAUCAGACUUGACUGUUCUUUCAAUGGCUCUAAUUUAUGGGAUUUGGAUUCUCCCAUUUCAAGUGGUGGUGGUUUGGGUCUCAUCCUACCAGCAUCCACUUGUGAGAGGGACACUCCACAUGGAUAUCCCCCCUCCCUGGUACAAAGCGGAUGGUGGGGGGUUGCCUCUGUGAUGCUGCAGCAUCUGCUGUCCCUCCCAUGCAUGGGAAGGGGAUAGGGUUGGAACCAGGGCAGGCACAUUGCUCCUUCAAGUGCCACAGACACUCCCCAUUAAUCCUAUUACAGCCCCAGGCUGGUUGGUGUUUGCAGCACAGAGGUCAAGUAUUAACUGGGCAUGGGGAAUAAUGCAGCCCCUCACCCCUCAUUCCCAGUAGCAGGGUCAAGUUUGUACUAACGUACCUCACUGCCUGUUGUGCAGGUAGGUACAAGCUGUGAUUUGGCAACGCUGCUAAUCCCUCACCUUUCAUCAGCACAAGAGUCACCCAGUGUUUGGAAGUAAGGGUUGCAUUGAAAUGGUGCCUGCGUUUAGGGUUAGGUUACGGGGACCACCAGCCAUUCACCUGGGAAGUGCUGAAGCAAGUCACAUGUUGUUCUGAGUCAGGGCCACAGGCCAUAGUUCUGCUAGCCAGAACAGAUACAGAAAGAGUAGCGUGCCUCUCUCCUUGCCGUCAUGGGAGCCCCAGAGCUUGUAAGUUCCUGUUUUCUGAUGUGUUUUUUAAAUAACACUUCACAGAAGAUAAAAUCCAAGGAGGAGCCUCAUGUCAAGCCUUCCUCCUCUCCUCAGUGUUUGGAAAUUCACUAGCAAGUGCUAUUGACAAAGCCCCGGCUCUGCACUCAAGUCCAGUAGAAAAUGCCCUGUCAGGCCACUUGUCACCUGAUGUCCUGAAAGCCUAUUGGAUUGUGUCACCCGUGUCUACCCUCUCCCUAUCCUCCCCAUAUCCAAUGUGACUUGUGAUUUUGCACAAUAAUUUCUGUGAUUAAAGGUUCAAUCCUGCAAGCACUUA
Chrysemys picta bellii (western painted turtle) is the source of this 1292-nucleotide non-coding RNA. The record is from RefSeq and is a predicted model, not a curated record. NCBI's taxonomy places the organism in Eukaryota, Metazoa, Chordata, Testudines, Emydidae.